AGAAAAGAUAACAGUGAACCCAGAGAAAAGUUGACAGUGAACUCAGAAGAAAUGACGGUGCACCCAGAGAAAAGAUGACAGGAAACCCAAAGAAAAGAUGAUGGUGUACCCAGAGAAAAGAAGACAAUGAACUCAGAGAAAAGAUGACGAUGAACCCAGAGAAAAGACGAUAGUGUACCCAGAGAAAAGAUGAUGGUGAACCUAGAGAAAAGACGACAGUGAACACAAAGAAAAGACGACAGUGAACGCAGAGAAAAGAUUAGAGUGAACCCAGAGAAAAGACAACAAUGAAAUCACAGAAAAAAAUGGCAGUGCACCCAGAGAAAAGAAGACAGUGAACCCAGAGAAAAGAUGGUGGUGAACACAGAAAAAAGAUGACAGUGAACCCAUAGAAAAGACAACGGUGAACCCAGGAAAAGAUGAUAGUGCAGCCAGACGAUGCACUAUCGUGAGAGAGAAGACGGUGAGGAAGCCAGGGAAAUGACAAAAGUGCAUCUAGAGAAAAGGUGACAGUGAACUCAGAGAACAGACAGUGAACCCAGAGAAAAGACAGCAGUGAACCCAGGGAAUCAACAACGGUGAACCCAGAGAAAAGACGACGGUGCAUCCAGAGAAAAAGGGACCCAGAGAAUCGACAAUGGUGAACCCAGAGAACAUACGACAGUGAACGCAGAGAAAAGACGACGGUGCACCCAGAGCGAUGGUGAACCCAGAGAAAAGGUGACAGCGAAUUCAGAAAUAAGACGACAGUGAACCCACAGAACAGUGAACCCAGAGAAAAGAUCACGGUGAACCCAGAGAAAAUACGACAGUGAACCCAGAGAAAAGAUGACAGUGAGCCCAGAGAAAAGACGACGGUGAACCCAGAGAAAAGAUGACAG
This 881-nucleotide long non-coding RNA is filed under the name Homo sapiens (human). RNAcentral describes it as "HSALNT0116099". The record is from RNAcentral. Lineage: Eukaryota; Metazoa; Chordata; Mammalia; Primates; Hominidae.